RNAcentral lists this transfer RNA (51 nucleotides) under Oribatula sp. XFX. RNAcentral's name for it is "tRNA-Met". Lineage: Eukaryota; Metazoa; Arthropoda; Arachnida; Sarcoptiformes; Oribatulidae. The record is from RNAcentral.
GAAGGAACUGAAGAUUUUUAAGCAUAGGAGUAUAGCUUUAGCUUUUUUAAG